Cricetulus griseus (Chinese hamster) is the source of this 58-nucleotide non-coding RNA. The record is from Rfam. Lineage: Eukaryota; Metazoa; Chordata; Mammalia; Rodentia; Cricetidae.
UGGCUCAGAGGUUAAGAGCACUGACUGCAAUUCCAGAGGUCCUGAGUUCAAUUCUCAG